UUAUACUGCGAAACUGCGAAUGGCUCAUUAAAUCAGUUAUCGUCUAUUUGAUAGUACCUUACUACUUGGAUAACCGUGGUAAUUCUAGAGCUAAUACAUGUCAAACCCCGACUUCGGAAGGGAUGUAUUUAUUAGAUUAAAAACCAAUGCCCUCCGGCUCACUGGUGAUUCAUGAUAACUUCUCGAAUCGCACGGCCUUGCGCCGGCGAUGGUUCAUUCAAAUUUCUGCCCUAUCAACUUUCGACGGCUGGGUAUUGGCCAGCCGUGGUGACAACGGGUAACGGAGGGUUAGGGCUCGACCCCGGAGAAGGAGCCUGAGAAACGGCUACUACAUCCAAGGAAGGCAGCAGGCGCGCAAAUUACCCAAUCCGACACGGGGAGGUAGUGACAAUAAAUACUGAUACAGGGCUCUUUUGGGUCUUGUAAUUGGAAUGAGUACAAUUUAAUUCCCUUAACGAGGAACAAUUGGAGGGCAAGUCUGGUGCCAGCAGCCGCGGUAAUUCCAGCUCCAAUAGCGUAUAUUAAAGUUGUUGCAGUUAAAAAGCUCGUAGUUGAACCUUGGGCCUGGCUGGCCGGUCCGCCUCACCGCGUGCACUGGUCCGGCCGGGCCUUUCCCUCUGGAGCCGCAUGCCUUUACUGGGCGUGCCGGGGAACCAGGACGUUUACUUUGAAAAAAUUAGAGUGUUCAAAGCAGGCUUAUGCUCGAAUACAUUAGCAUGGAAUAAUGGAAUAGGACGCGUGGUUCUAUUUUUUUGGUUUCUAGGACCGCCGUAAUGAUUAAUAGGGACAGUCGGGGGCAUCAGUAUUCAGCUGUCAGAGGUGAAA
RNAcentral lists this ribosomal RNA (825 nucleotides) under Raffaelea santoroi. RNAcentral describes it as "SSU rRNA". It matches the Rfam family "Eukaryotic small subunit ribosomal RNA", at positions 74 to 916 of the family's 1831-position model. Lineage: Eukaryota; Fungi; Ascomycota; Sordariomycetes; Ophiostomatales; Ophiostomataceae. The record is from RNAcentral.